UGGGGAAUAUUGCACAAUGGGCGAAAGCCUGAUGCAGCGACGCCGCGUGAGGGAUGACGGCCUUCGGGUUGUAAACCUCUUUCAGUAGGGACGAAGCGCAAGUGACGGUACCUGCAGAAGAAGCACCGGCUAACUACGUGCCAGCAGCCGCGGUAAUACGUAGGGUGCGAGCGUUGUCCGGAAUUACUGGGCGUAAAGUGCUCGUAGGCGGUUUGUCACGUCGUCUGUGAAAUCCUAGGGCUUAACCCUGGACGUGCAGGCGAUACGGGCUGACUUGAGUACUACAGGGGAAGCUGGAAUUUCUGGUGUAGCGGUGGAAUGCACAGAUAUCAGGAAGAACACCGAUGGCGAAGGCAGGUCUCUGGGUAGUAACUGACGCUGAGGAGCGAAAGCAUGGGUAGCGAACAGG
RNAcentral lists this ribosomal RNA (409 nucleotides) under bacterium. RNAcentral's name for it is "partial 16S ribosomal RNA". It matches the Rfam family "Bacterial small subunit ribosomal RNA", at positions 355 to 776 of the family's 1533-position model. The record is from RNAcentral.